ACGAACGCUGGCGGCGUGCUUCACACAUGCAAGUCGCACGGAAAGGCCCUGCUUUUGUGGGGUGCUCGAGUGGCGAACGGGUGAGUAACACGUGAGUAACCUGCCCUUGACUUUGGGAUAACUUCAGGAAACUGGGGCUAAUACCGGAUAGGAGCUCCUGCUGCAUGGUGGGGGUUGGAAAGUUUCGGCGGUUGGGGAUGGACUCGCGGCUUAUCAGCUUGUUGGUGGGGUAGUGGCUUACCAAGGCUUUGACGGGUAGCCGGCCUGAGAGGGUGACCGGCCACAUUGGGACUGGGAUACGGCCCAGACUCCUACGGGAGGCAGCAGUGGGGAAUAUUGCACAAUGGGCGGAAGCCUGAUGCAGCAACGCCGCGUGCGGGAUGACGGCCUUCGGGUUGUAAACCGCUUUCGCCUGUGACGAAGCGUGAGUGACGGUAAUGGGUAAAGAAGCACCGGCUAACUACGUG
This 467-nucleotide ribosomal RNA is filed under the name uncultured bacterium. RNAcentral's name for it is "partial 16S ribosomal RNA". It matches the Rfam family "Bacterial small subunit ribosomal RNA", at positions 29 to 507 of the family's 1533-position model. The record is from RNAcentral.